This 253-nucleotide ribosomal RNA is filed under the name uncultured bacterium. RNAcentral's name for it is "partial 16S ribosomal RNA". It matches the Rfam family "Bacterial small subunit ribosomal RNA", at positions 524 to 776 of the family's 1533-position model. The record is from RNAcentral.
UACGUAGGGGGCUAGCGUUGUCCGGAUUUAGUGGGCGUAAAGAGCGUGUAGGCGGCCAUGUAGGUCCGGUGUGAAAACUCGAGGCUUAACCUCGAGAUGUCAUCGGAAACCAUUUGGCUAGAGUCCGGAAGAGGAGAGUGGAAUUCCUGGUGUAGCGGUGAAAUGCGCAGAUAUCAGGAAGAACACCCGUGGCGAAGGCGGCUCUCUGGGACGGUACUGACGCUGAGACGCGAAAGCGUGGGGAGCGAACAGG